CACGACCUGCACCAUUUGCGAUCUGAAGCUGCAAAUUAAUGGAGCUCCCAAGUUCUCAGGUGGAGUGUGCAGAGAAUGAGAACAAUACUACUACUCCUCAAGUCAAUACUCAAUACUAACUGCAAGCCAUUUACUGAGCAAAAGCAAGAAUUACAAAUUGUAAUUAAUAAGUGGAGGUGAAGCUAUCAACGCAAUCUCUUUUUAAGUAACUUUUCUUAAGUAAGCUUUAGCUCUACCUUUUCCUCACCACCACCACCAUCUCAAACACCUCCAACGCUUCCUCCUCAAACUCCUAGAUCGGCCGGCUCCCUCUCUCUUCACUUUGCCUUUUCCCCAAUAUUAAAAUUACAUAUAAUACCUUUUUUUCUCAGGUUGUAUGGUUGAUUUUGCUGGUUUGGAUGUAUUUGGGUGCAUAUUUUUGCAAGUUGAUUUUGCUGGUUUGAAUGUAUUUGGGUGUAUUUGUCUGCAGGUUGUAUGCUUGACUUGAUUUUUUUUCGUUUUGAUGUGGUUUGUAGUUAAGAGAUCUGGAUUUUUGGUACUGUGAAUGUGAUUUGGUUUGCGAUGUUUGAUUUCAUUUUCAUUAGUCCCGGUGGCGCUUUCUUUUCCGUCUCUUCUUCUUCUCUUUGUUCCGGUUCCGGGUCUCAGUUCCUACAAGGAUGGAACCGUAACUAGAACCAUGCAGUAUUGGUUCCGGGUUUUUGAAACCGAAAUCGACCCUAUGGUGGUCGAUUUAGGGUACGAACUAGAACCAAAACCUAGUUUCUGAUGAUGAAGAUGCGUAGAGAAAAUCAUGGUCGACAGCUGAGACUUCCACUGACUAAAUCGUCAUGGAAAAAUUUGUAUUUGGCGUUGUUUAGAAGCGAAUCAAUUACACAUGGAAUUAUAACAAGACAGACUGCUUCAAAUUUGCAUCGCUUUGUUAUUCAUCCA
Pistacia vera is the source of this 930-nucleotide long non-coding RNA. RefSeq lists it as uncharacterized. The transcript has 3 exons. The record is from RefSeq and is a predicted model, not a curated record. NCBI's taxonomy places the organism in Eukaryota, Viridiplantae, Streptophyta, Magnoliopsida, Sapindales, Anacardiaceae.